This 434-nucleotide ribosomal RNA is filed under the name uncultured Lachnospiraceae bacterium. Its description in RNAcentral is "partial 16S ribosomal RNA". It matches the Rfam family "Bacterial small subunit ribosomal RNA", at positions 341 to 792 of the family's 1533-position model. Lineage: Bacteria; Bacillati; Bacillota; Clostridia; Lachnospirales; Lachnospiraceae. The record is from RNAcentral.
ACGGAAGGCAGCAGUGGGGGAUAUUGCACAAUGGGGGAAACCCUGAUGCAGCGACGCCGCGUGAGCGAAGAAGUAUUUCGGUAUGUAAAGCUCUAUCAGCAGGGAAGAAAAUGACGGUACCUGACUAAGAAGCUCCGGCUAAAUACGUGCCAGCAGCCGCGGUAAUACGUAUGGAGCAAGCGUUAUCCGGAUUUACUGGGUGUAAGGGGAGCGUAGACGGUUUGCCAAGUCUGAUGUGAAAGGUGGGGGCUCAACCCCCAAACUGCAUUGGAAACUGGUAGACUAGAGUGUCGGAGAGGUAAGUGGAAUUCCUAGUGUAGCGGUGAAAUGCGUAGAUAUUAGGAGGAACACCAGUGGCGAAGGCGGCUUACUGGACGAUAACUGACGUUGAGGCUCGAAAGCGUGGGGAGCAAACAGGAUUAGAUACCCUGGUA